UACAGAGGUCUCAAGCGUUGUUCGGAUUCAUUGGGCGUAAAGGGCUCGUAGGCGGCCAACUAAGUCGGAUGUGAAAUCCCCAGGCUCAACCUGGGAACUGCAUCCGAUACUGGAUGGCUUGAAUUCGGGAGAGGGAUGCAGAAUUCCAGGUGUAGCGGUGAAAUGCGUAGAUAUCUGGAGGAAUACCGGUGGCGAAGGCGGCAUCCUGGACCGACAUUGACGCUGAGGAGCGAAAGCCAGGGGAGCAAACGGG
This 253-nucleotide ribosomal RNA is filed under the name uncultured bacterium. RNAcentral's name for it is "partial 16S ribosomal RNA". It matches the Rfam family "Bacterial small subunit ribosomal RNA", at positions 524 to 776 of the family's 1533-position model. The record is from RNAcentral.